Small nucleolar RNA from Sphaeramia orbicularis (orbiculate cardinalfish), 137 nucleotides. The record is from Ensembl. NCBI's taxonomy places the organism in Eukaryota, Metazoa, Chordata, Actinopteri, Kurtiformes, Apogonidae.
ACAGGCACCUAUCGAAGCCGUUCAUGUCCUACUGUGGCAGUGAACGGUCAACAGGAUGCCGAAAUGAAGACUUUCACCGACGGUCGCUGCUCAGUUUGAUAGUAACUGUUUCAGCAACAUUAAGGGAAAGAACACUU